UACCUCCGAGGUGUUUACCUCGGCCCCAUCGCGGGCGCCCGUCGAAAGUUUCAGGUUCUCUCUCUCGCGGCGAGAGAGCGGACGAAGACGAAUAAGGGUGUUGGUGCGGCUGCAUGGCCUCUGGUUCCCUUUAGCACCGCACCGAGGUCCAGGCCUCAAGGUGCGGUCGCUCAUGGCAUUCCACCACCGAUGUGGGCCCUCGCCAUCGAUGUCGCUCUUGGUCCUGCCAUUCUUUUGCCGGGCUUUGGAGAUGACAAGGUAAGAUGUCAAGCAGCAAUGAACAGCAAAGAGCAAGUCACAGUGUGCUACAAGAUCUAGGGGCAUUAGUAAUUGGCAACAAAAUCCCUAUUUCCCUCCCUCCCUUUAUCUUUCCCUUUCUCUAUUCCUUCUUAAGAUAACCUACCUCUCUCUAUCUCUCUUAUUUGUUUGUUUCGAGGGCUUCUUGCUGGGAGAGUUCAGUUUUCCUAUAAGACCGCCCUAUCUUAUCUUAUCUUGCUAUGUGGAAACGAUUUGAACUUGUUUCCUACUUUGGUUUCCGUCUGGCUUGAUAAAUGCACUCUAAGUUCCAGAAGGUUAGUUCCUUUAGGGUGAGAACUGAACUAAGGAGAUGUGUUUAUUGAAGAUAGCAGUAGCUGCAUGGGUGGGGAAAAUGGUGUAAAUGUGCACUCUGUUCUCAUAUUUAUAUUAAAAACAAGAAGAUGUCAUAUGCCAAGCAAAGUUGGACUUAAAGGCUUUCCCAUUGUAUGAUUAUAGAGGAGCACGUUUCUUCUAUAGAGGUACUCUUCUUAUAUUUACAUCUCAGUGGCUUAAUUCUUGGGGCCAUGACUAGUGGCUAAAGACAUGUAAUUACAGGGAGAGUCAAAUUUACUUGAAUGUAUGCUGAACCUGCUAGAGAUAUCAGAUCCUGAUGCAGAUGCUGAAGUACAUAUUGUACUGAACUCUCUUGUUGUAUAGCUGCUGAGAGUCGCUAUGAAGACAAUCGGGAAUGCUAGCCAUUGGCAUUCUGGUCCUUUUUAGGUUUGGUGAUGUUCAGGGAGUAGAAGACAUUUCUUCAUGGCAGCACAGUCAUGGCUAAGAAUUAAGAGCAUAAUACCAAAUAUUAGAGGGAAUCAAGAAUUCUGAAGUAUCUGAAGUUAGUGCAGUUGACUUCUUGUUGGUGGGCUAAUGGAUAUCAUCAUCAUUCUAGAAGACAAUCAUGAGUUGUGGACCAUGUCAAAAACCUACAAGGCUUUUUCAGCUGCCACCAGUCGAGCAUAAGAGGAGCCACACCCCUCCCUUUAACACCCACCAGCUCCUGAGAACAGCAGCAGUAGCAUUAACCAUGCCAAGACUCGUGCCUGUCCUCAUUCUCAUUUUCCUAAUUCUUCUUUUUGAGACGUCUUCAAGCCCAGUCCAGAGCAUUGAGGAUGGAAUUAAACCUGGACACUUGGUGAGCAAGAUGCGUGCAAUAAGGGCUCUAGGGGAGAUCACACUGGAUUAUGACGACGGAGGAGCUAACCCCAAACAUGAUCCCAGGAAGGGGAAGCCAGGGAAUGGCGGCAAGAAUCCGUAACUCCCAUUUGCCCAUCCCCACAUAAAGUAUGUACGCAUGCAUGUAUGUAUGCAUGCAUGCCACUAAACAAAGCAAUAGAGAUUAUGAUCCCAUGCUGUUAUUUUUUAUGGUUGUUAUUGAGGUCAUGUACUUGCUCUCUCAUAUUCCUCUCCCUUUGAUGAAUCAGUUCCCAUAAAUAAACCGAGAGGUCCGUAAUAAGUUAGUCGUC
Molecule: non-coding RNA, 1760 nt
Organism: Phoenix dactylifera (date palm)
Lineage: Eukaryota; Viridiplantae; Streptophyta; Magnoliopsida; Arecales; Arecaceae
Source: RefSeq, a predicted model, not a curated record